This 75-nucleotide transfer RNA is filed under the name Araneus ventricosus. Its description in RNAcentral is "tRNA-Thr". The stretch from base 8 to 66 matches the Rfam family "tRNA", at positions 8 to 63 of the family's 71-position model. Rfam says of the family: Transfer RNA (tRNA) molecules are approximately 80 nucleotides in length. Their secondary structure includes four short double-helical elements and three loops (D, anti-codon, and T loops). Lineage: Eukaryota; Metazoa; Arthropoda; Arachnida; Araneae; Araneidae. The record is from RNAcentral.
UGCGCCAUAGCUCAGUGGUUAGGAGCACUGGUCUUGUAAAACCAGGGUCGUGAGUUCAAUCCUCACCAGGCUUAU